CGCUUAUAAUAUUAUCGUACGUCUAUGACAAUAUACAUUUCGUUAUACUUAUUAUAAUUUAAUACGAGUAAAAGUUUAUGUAUAUUAUAUAAUAUACUGCGUAUUUCACGUGACAUUUAGAAAAAAAAAAAAUGAUUCUGGAGAACUUUUUUUUUUUACCGACGAUUCCGCGCAUACCUUUUCGUUCGCACGAUUCCGCGUACGAAAUAAUAUUAUAAUAUAGCUAUACCAUCGCGAUUCCGUGAAAGAUUGAAAGGUCGUCAAAAUUAUAUUUUAUGUGACGGAACGGACAUGACGUCGUCGUAUAUUAUCCGAGCCAGUAUGGAAUUGUCGAACGUACGUUAGGUAAAGCGGCCAGUGACGGGGGGGGGNGGGGGGGGGGGGUGGAGGUCGGCGUUGCGGCGGUGUUUCCUCAAACGCACGCGAAAACCGUCAAUGAGAGAUAAAGGACUUUUUUUUUGUUCCGUCGUGACCACUGGUCGGCAGAGAAACGCGAAAUUUCAUGUGGUUCGUGCCGGAGAAACGGGUUGCGGCCCAGAAUAUGCGGCCCGACUUAUUGUUAUUAAAACGUGUUUAUAGACUGAAGGUCUUGAAGAUAUUCUACAAUCGUUGUUAAAAGCAUAGUAUUAAAAGCACACGUAGUUCGUCGCACAACACGCGACAGCUGACGGACACACGGUCAAUUAAACCGCCUGUAAUAAAUGUUAACAAAAUUUCGUCUUAUCGGAUCUUCCAGUUGGAUGUGUUGAACGUGAUGUGCACGAUGCCCGACAAUUGUAUGAGAUACUUUUUUAAGACAUUUUUUGAUCAUUUCUGACGGUCGAGGAGAAAAAGAAAAAUAUUAAUAUACGACCAGGCGACGCGUGUUGUACCGGGGUCGACAACCGUCCUACAUUGGGCAGGGUUAUUUGAUGUGUCCUACGUCCAAAACCGCUUUAAAUCGUACGCAAGACAGUCCUAAAUAUCCAUACGUAGACCUCGGAGUUCAAGGUAUAAGAACAAAUAUCUUAUUUUAUUAUAAAACGUUUUUAUUAUUAUAUAUACAGAUGUAACAGUGUUCUAUUUUUUGAUUCAAGCUUGUUUUUUUUUUUCUGAUUAUUAUGUAUUUAUAGUACAUAUGUAUAUACAUUAGAAUUUCGGAUUAAUAAUAAAAACAUAGCUGUACCUGAAAAUCAAACAUUUUCCGAAAUAUUUGUCUCAUCAGAGCCAGUGAUAAGGGGCGGGGGGGGGGGGUUAGAGUCAAGGAAAAACCUUGUGUCGGCACUGUCCCGCAUUCUGUAUUUAAACAGUAAACGACCCUAUAUAACGCGUGUAACGAUAAUUUUUCAGCGGAACCAUUUUCUAAACUAAUUUUUGGCGGAAAUAAAAAUCAUAAAAUCAUUUUUUUUAUUUUGUAUAGAUCCGCGGAAUCGUGCAGUAGGUAAGAGUAAAAAAAAAGAAAAAAAAAAGAAAAAUGCUUAUUGCGCGGAAUCCUGCGGCCGUUAUCCGUUUUCACAAGCGAUUUACAAUACGUUUUCCGGAUACAUUUUAAGAGCGGGGCGGGUGAACUUUAACAAUAGCACGGGACGAAUAAAAUAAUAAAAAAAAAAAAAAAAAAAAAAAAAAAAACAACAACAAUACAAUGUCGAUACGGCUGUAUAUUGUUAUAAAGUUGCGGCACACACUUAUAUUGUAUUAUUAUCGGCAAUGUCGCGACUCGCUUAUUAUUGUGAAAAAUUCUACCUAAUAGUAUGAUGAUAAUAAUAAUAAUAAAAAAAAACCAAAAAACUAAAAAAAAUUUCGUUAUUGUCGUAACCGUAACACAAUAUUAUUAUUAUUAUUAUUAUUAUAUCGGUCGGUUGUCCGAUCGGUGCAAUCGGUACUCACAAAAUAUUAUCAUGUCCGUAUUAUUUGCGGACUUGUCGCGGUGCGAACGUUUCGCACGGGGUCCCUGACAACGUUCCGCGAUGUAAAAUUUAUUUAUUAUGUAAUUUUUGAAAUUCAUUUUUUAGAUUUUUCAAACUGGCACCACAGAGUCCGCGAGGCUUUUCGAAAACCUGCCGAAAAACCUCUACACCGACUUAACAGGACGUUAUUGCGGAAAGUAGUUGGCUGACCCUGGCUGAAAAGUUAUAACACAAAGUUAUUUCCGGUGCGAAUUGGUCACUACACUUGGAUUUAUCAUAUCAAAAAAAAAAACAUAUUUUAAUCAGUUUGUAUUAAAAAAAUUUAGUCAAACGCAUUUUUCAUUUUUAAGGUCUUUUUUCGGGGAGUUAGGAGAAUUUUUUUUAACAUUUUUUUAAAUUAAUUACCGUACGCAUACUAUGGUUUUUAUGAA
This is a non-coding RNA of Cinara cedri, 2317 nucleotides long. NCBI's taxonomy places the organism in Eukaryota, Metazoa, Arthropoda, Insecta, Hemiptera, Aphididae. The record is from the annotation of a GenBank genome assembly.